Molecule: long non-coding RNA, 1243 nt
Filed under: Trifolium pratense (red clover)
Lineage: Eukaryota; Viridiplantae; Streptophyta; Magnoliopsida; Fabales; Fabaceae
Description: long non-coding RNA (TPRA_LNC006679)
Source: RNAcentral
UCUUAUAAGCUUCAAGUUUUUCUACCUAGUUUCCCAAAAAUAUCCACCCUUCAAUAAACCUAAGCAACGCUAUAACCCGAAAAGUCCUCGAAAGGUGCAUAUUCAUUGUAUGUCGAUCGAUUUUUAGAGUCCUUGCAAGCAUAUGGUAGAAAGGUGUAGAUUGUGUUGAUUGAGUGUAUGUCCCUAAACACUUGAGAGAAUUUUGGUGAGAUUGUGUGGAGAAUUGAGCUUGAUGGAUGAAUGUUGGAUGAAUUGUUUUGAAUUUCCGAUUGGUUGUUAGUAGAUGAAAGUGACCUUGAGUAUGAUAAUUUAUGUAAAAUGACGUGUUUUGUUCUUAUUGAUUACGGAGAUAGAUUAACAUGAAUGUUUGGUUGGGUGUUUGAGUUGCACUCUUUUGAAAGCAUUGUUCCUUGAGGACAAGCAACAGAUUAAGUUUGGGGUUGUGAUGAGUCUUCACCCGUCGCUAUUUUUAGAGUAUUUUUAAUUAAGUUUUUAAUAUCAUUUUAUUAGUUUAAUGUUUAAUUUAGAGUCAUUUUAAAUAAAUUACAAUUUUUGGUUUAUUGAAUCAAUUAUGUCUUUUUCUCUAUUAAUAUAUAUUUUGUGUAGCUUUUAUUUUGUGAAUUUACUUACUCAUUGUUUAGUGUGUCAUAUGAUGAGCAAAGAGGGAGUUAACUAUUGUAAUAUGAUGGGCUUGUCUAAAAAGAAAAGAAACGUGGACUUUAUGCUUGUGUGGCCCAACAUGAAACAAGGAGGUUUCUUUGAUUAUUAUAAGUAAGAGGAGCUGGAGACAGAAGGAGAGUUACGCAGAGAGAGAGAGAAAGGCUGGGGAUAAUCACGUACAACAAGAAGAAAAAGGGAAUCACGCACACCCUAGAGCAAAAGGAACAUCACGCACACCCUGGAGAACGAAAGGAGCUGGCCGUAUCAACAAGCAGCAACAUAGUUUAUGGUCUUGUUCUUCUCCUUAUUAUGUUGCUUAUUAAUUUAAUUAUGAGAAGCUGAAUUCUAUUGAUUGGUUCUUAGAGGAUUUUGAUUAUUAUUUCUCUUGAACAAUGUGAUUAUCAUUUGAUAUGAUAAAUGAAUUACGAAGUUAGUUUCUUCAAUUAUUCCUUGUGCUUAAUGCUUUACAUGACUUGAUCAAUUGUGUGAUGAUUUCAAUUAUUUGUUUUACUAUGAUGAUAGGAAUGAAUGAUCGAUCUAGGAAUGAUUGAUCAAUUAACUUUCACUUAAGACAUUUCGGAUU